RNAcentral lists this long non-coding RNA (6570 nucleotides) under Sus scrofa (pig). Its description in RNAcentral is "lncRNA (ENSSSCG00025021471.1)". The record is from RNAcentral. Lineage: Eukaryota; Metazoa; Chordata; Mammalia; Artiodactyla; Suidae.
AGAAUUAUACACUGAUUGUGAGCAGCCAGACCAAAACCUCUGAUGUGGCCAAGAACAAGGACUGGAAUAAAAUAUUGCUGGGAAUUUUUCAGUCAACUCAAUUCAGUGGAUAUUUAUUGAGCUCAUAUAACUCAUCAUGUUCAAGAAUGAAGAGAUCAAGAAUCCUCAACCACCAUCCUUCUGGAGAGCAAAUCUGUACAUUCUCAUAUUCAGAUUCAACCAAAAUGAGGCCAUAAGUGGAAAGAAAAAGUUGGGUGAGGUGGUGAAGACACAGUCCAGAGGAGUGUGACCUGGCCAAUUGGCUUCCCUUCUCAGGUAACGGGGAAAUUUCAGACUUGUGGGCAGAGGUGAAAAUUUCAGACUUGCGGCAGUGGUGACCAACAGCUGAAGUUUUUCUUCUUUUCCUUCACCCGUUCAUGUCCUGCGAGGCAGAAGGGAGUUCUGGAGGGAGCACACCCUCCAGUCUGGGAUUCAGCCCUCUCCUUUGCCAUAGUAUUUAUGAAUAUUAUCGGGGUCCUCACUAGGAACCCCGUUGCUGUGUGCAAACCGAUGGUGGACUCUAUUUUGGUUCUAAUCGUGAAAUAGCAACAAGUCUUUCCUCUCAUUAGCUUUCUGGCCUUCAUAUCAUCAGAUGUUGUGGGAAAUUAUGUGGAUAUAAAUCAAACCAUUUUCCUAAGAGCUGAGAGACACACGUGCAAGUGUUGCCAUGACUACCACUCCUCACCAGCAGCUGGGAGGGAAACUAGGGUACCACUUGAUGGUUCUUUUCUUUAUGAUGUUAAUAGUUUAACAUUCCUGUUUCAACUGAGUUAUUUUUCUUGGUUUCAUGUUUUGUUUUGUUUUGUUUUUACUUUCUUGAACUAAUAUCAUUUGUAUUAAUUCAUGAGCUAUGGUCUUUGAACUUUAAGGUGAAUGUAUGCACAGUUUUUGUAUAUAAAUGAAUAUGUUAAUUGUGGUAGAUUAAGUAUCAGAAGCUUUCAUGAUAUUUUCAAAGAGGUCUGUGCUGCAAAACAUGGGUUAAGUAUUAUUAACCUUGCUAAUAAAGGUGUCACUCAUACAGUCAACUUUAGGGUUUUAGCCUUAAGCCAUUAGGGCACCAUCUGACCCACAGAUUAAUGAGAUAUAAUAAAAGCUGGGACAACUACCCAGUUUGCCUAGGAAAUUGCUCCAGCUCUAUCACUCAAUUAGUUUAUUUCCUCCUUUCUUUAAUAGUCUAGAAUCCUUUGGCUUAAAACCUGGAUACUCUUCUUAGGUAUAUUACCUUAUUAUUGAUAAGAUGUUUGAACAGUCUGUCAUUUUAAUUUGUACCUUCUUUGCACCAAAAUCAAAAGAGGGAAUGAAAAUUGAGAAACUGGUAACCUUUUCAGUCUUCUCAGUUAGGCUUCCUUGAUAUAACUUCCAAGCUCUGAAUCCAGAAUCACAGAUUUUAGGGUUCCAGCCCUCUUACUGCCUGGGAAAGAAAUUUUGACAUGUAAUACAAGUUUUGGGCGUUCUGAGAAUAAAAUGACUUUCCAGAUCUGUCUUCCUUCAUCUAAUUCGAGGACACCAUUCCAUUCACUCAUGCCACAUGGAGCAUGUUUCUUUCAACAUCUAACACACAAAUGGGUUACCUUUGUCUUUUUACUUGGAUUGACUGGAUUGGUCCCAGAAGCUACCCCAAACCUGGUUUGAACCUUCCUGUUGUCUGGUUUCCUAAAGAUGAACCUUUCUUUCCAAGGCUACUUGGACUAUAGGAAAAUUGUAUCUUGAUUCCUUCUAACCUUUGCUCUAUCCUCCCUCUUAAAAUGCUUCAUCAGAUCUGACAAUAGGUCUCUUUUUGACUUCCAGAUAUGUGACCCUUUAGCAAGUCACAGCUUUUUUUCUUGAUCUUCUCUUUGAAAGCAAUCCAAUGGAUAAGAGAACCUUAACAUAUUUAGAAAUUUAUUGUCUUUAGACCUUCUAAAAAUAAGCUUCUGUCAUUUAUUUAGGACCUCCCAAUCUUGUUUAAAAAAAAACUGCAAACACAAAAAUGCACAAUGUUGGAGUAAUAAUAAAGCUUCUUGUGAAGCUAGGAGGAAAAUGAAAAUGACUUUUUCAAGUACACUAGAAAAUCUUGGGUGAAAUUGGGUUGUAUAACUUAUUCCCCAGAGGAAAGUGGGUCCUGUAUCCCAUGUAAUGACUCUCUGAUCUCUGAAGGCUAAGCUAAAAGUAAUCUCUACUCAGAGUCUAGUCAUUACUCUGUCAUUUUGACUUUUUGGUCACUUUGAGCCUUAAUUUUUUUAUGAUUUUUUUGGAUCUCAUAAUUACUUAGCUGGCUCACUGUAGCUACUGUAACUUUUGCAACUUUUAAAUGUUCCUUGAUACAGAAACACAUAAGCAUAAAUAUUCUUAAACACAUAAACAACUUCAUACAGCCACUAAAAGACAACAAAAAAAGGGAAACAUUGCUAUCUUCUGAUGAUCUAAGCCGCUUAAGAGAAGUGAGCAGUUUUUUGAAGUUACAUUAAUGUUUUCAAGUUCCUAGGUUUCCAUUUAGGACAUUGAACCAAGAGUUAACAAUUUUGUAUUUAUAGGAAGCCAAAUAACCUGGAGAGAGAAGGAAAUAGAAUAAAGCAUAUGUCAGUGGUAACAUAAAUUAUCCUGAUGACAUGUUUUAACAGAAUGUUUACUUCAGAGCACCCUGUUUAGCCAAUUGAUUUUGAAGGUUGCCAACCAAAAUGGAUAAUUAGUAUCUAAUCAAGACAGCUAAAAUGAGUAGUUGGGUCCCAUCUUUGAGCAUGUAUCAUGUCCAAAAAAUGUUUUGAAUGAGUUUGACCUGCCUGACAGAUGUCAACUGGGACUGGGCCAUUUGUAAGGCUGCAUUAAGUAAAAAGAUAGCAAACUGCUUAGAACAAGAUGCUUCCAGAAUUCAGUCUGUGUCUCUGUAUGAGGACCUGAUAUUCUGGAACUGAGAUCAAAGAUUCCACUUACAGAAUAUGAAUUGACUUUACAGUUUUGAAGUAGCAUUUUUGGGGGUCUUUUUUAAAAAUUAAAGUAUUCUUGAUUUACAUUUUUUUUUUUUGUCUGCAACUGCAGCAUAUGCAAGUUCCCAGGCUAGGGGUCAAAUUAGAGCUGCAGGUCUACACCACAGCCAUGGCAACAUUGGAUCCAGGCGGCAUCUGCAGCCUAUGCCACUGAGUUAGCAGUUCUUGAUGAUCUUUUAAGGUAGUCUGUUCUUAUAGCAGAAGUCUUUUUCUUUUCCCGUUUCUUCCUUCUUCCCUCCCUUUCUCUUUCCCUCCCUCUCUCUCUCCUUUUUUUUUCUUUCUUUCUUUUUGUCACCUGUUGUUAACAUUUUUAUUGCCUCUAGUUAAUCUUCCUUUUUUUAUGUUCAGGAUAAGGUCUAAGUACCUGUUUUAAAGAUACCGUAUCAUAUUUACUCCAAUAGGAAUGUCUCCAGUAAGAUUGAGAAGGCAAACUGGGGAAAGAUUUUAGUAUAUUUUCAUGCUUCUAAUAAAUGAAAUCAUUUUACUCCCCAAAUUUACUUUUUCUUUAAUAAUCAAAAACAAUAUUGCUCAAAUCCAACAUCUCUUGGAGUUCAGUGCUUAGUUUUUUGUUGCAGUGGCAGGAGUCUUUCCCAUUAUGUGACUUUCUCCUUUCUCUUUUCAAAUAUCCUUGCUGAUCUAUUGCAUUUUUCUUUAGACCAUCCCACUUCCUAAUACUUCAAAACUGGAAAGUUACUUCACAUUUUUAGUAACUUGUGUUAAUUUUUAAAUAUUUUUUCUCAAACGUAUUUUAGCUGACAUAUAGUUCAUCAACUGAUUCUUUGCUAGCCCAGCUUCACCUCACUACACUUGUCAUGGUUUUCAUGUCUUUUUCUGUCUUCUUGGCUCAUGUUACUUCUUUUACUUUCUGUUCUUCUCCAACAAGAUAUAACCAUCUUUACCUCACACAGUUUCUAGCAUCUUCUUUUUUUUCCAGGGGAUUCCCAUAAGCUCUUUACACAUUAGCACUGUACUAAAGUUCGUUAUAUACCAUAGUUUCUUACUUAAGUAUCUAUGGUUCACAUGAUAGAGUGAUUUUAUUUAUAGCAAACAAUAGCUAAUUCUCCUCUAUAAUUCCAAUGGUUGGCACAGAGUAGAUUUCCAAAAUAUGCUGACUGAAUACAUUAACAUAAAAUUUAUUUUACUUCUUCAUUUAUUUAUUUGUGGGAUAAACACAGUGUUAGACUGCAUAUUGGCUUGUGAGAGCUAAAUGAUCCAUCAGCAGAUCUUAUGACUGUCUAUGUUCAAGCUCCUUCCAGAAACUUAUAGUAUGUCCCUAUUCCUCUAUGGUUCUUAGAAAUUUUUUUUCACCUUUUUUUCUCCUCCUGUCUUACCAGCACACCAUACUUUAUCCAAACUGGACUGGGGAGCAGGGAGGUGGGAGGUUAUUUGAGUUCCUUUCUCUCUUCACAAUUUAAGCCCAGAGGGAUGAUGAGUAAAAUGUUUAAUGAGAUAUUGGAAACGACUCAGACCCAUCCAUUUCAAUCAUGAUCUAAUCAUUUAGUGAGAGAAGGAAGAUGAAAGAAUAGUACUAAUGUAAUGUCUGCACCAAUAGAAUACUAAAGCUCUCCAAAGGCAAAAUAAAGGGGGAGGAUCCCAUCCCACUUGAGGCUAAGUUGCAUCCGCCACUGAGAUUCAGGCAAACACAGGGAAAUUUAAUGAGCUAAUAUAAUGGGUGGUCUGAAGACAUCUAUUCGCAUGAAUUUACAUGAUUAUCAUGGGACAGGUUGACUGCCAAAACAGAGGAAAGUGGGAUAAAAUGGAGAUGCAGAAGGCAGCAAGGUGCCUGUUGUAAGUAUUGUCCUCUAAUAACAUGUCAGGGACUCAUUUCUGAGAUUUAUGGAAGGAGAAACUUCAAGCAGGAUCCUGACCUUGAGACAAGGAGAGCUUUGUUGGCAGCAUACAGACAUCUGGAUAUAUAACAGUAGUAGGAAGAAGAAUAUUCCAACCCCCAAUCCGCACCCACCCCCAAAUAUAGUUGGUAAUAUCAGGAGAAUCAGGAGGCACAAGUAUUAGAAUCCUUUCAUUGCUUUCCAGGUAGUUAAUGCAACUGACAGAAUGGUUGUGAUACAUGUGACGCACUCUGAGCAUCAGUAAAAAUAAACAGGUGAAACUUCAUGGGGGAUGGUGCCUCUUAAGAUAUGAGUACAUAUGAAUCACAGGUAUCAACAUGAAUACACAUGCCUGAGAAGAGUGCCGGAAUAGAGGGAUGGAAAUAUUAAACCUGUUCAAAUUGGGUUAUCCUUUUUGUUUUUCUUACUCUUUUUGGUGCAUUAGAAAGAUUUUAACAUUCACAGAGACUCAGUUUUCUCCCAGUUCUAUUACUCUCAUCCCAGCACCAAAGUGCUGUCUUCACGUGGGGGAGCAUUUUAAAAUUAAGCCUCUAGUGUUGCCUUCAGGGAAGGACAAACAAGCUUUUUGGUAAUCAUUCUUGUCUGGUUAUGAUGUGCCAUCAAGAUCUACUAAGCAAGCAAAGAGAAAAAUUUAUUGACUAAGAGAUAGAGAUAGAAGGAUUAGGAAGGAAUAACAAAAGCAACUAGACAGAGAACUGUGGGUAGGAAAAGUAAAUGAAGAAGACAUCAACUCAGAAGCCUGCAAAGGUAUCUUGGAACAUUUGUCCAAGGAGCAAGGGUGGAGGUUGGGAAAGAGACCACUGCCCAUCAAUGCCAGGUCAGUAAACCUCAGGCCACUUUGAGGGGUACACUAGUUAGAAACUAUGAACAACAACAAUAGUAACCCUUUAUUUUUUCUCAUUGGGUUAUAGUUAGGCAGGUGGGCUCUGAUGAUCUGGGCUGGGUAUGACUGAUCCUAGGUAUGCUUGCUCAUAGGCCUGAAUUAGCUAUUAGGUUGGCUGGAGCAGGUCGAUCUGGAAGAGCCCUGGCUAGGCUAACUCCAAUGUGUCUCUGACAUCCUCCAUUAAGGUAGUGCUGGCAGACAGGAGAACAGAAUGUGCAAGUACUAUUUUCAAGUAUCUGUUUGAGUCAAACUUGUACUUCUCAUUGGCCAAGACAUGUCACAUGGUCAAGCCCAGUGUCACCAAGGGAGGGCACUAUCAAAGGCAUGAGUAUAGGAAUGUGGCAUUAUUCAGACUCCCAGGUGCCAUCUGGGAAGUUGACUCUGUUGCACAACAGAGAUCCUAUCACCACCUGCACUCAGGACCUGCACCAGGUCUUCUUACCCACCGCAGAAUAGACACAGCAAGAAGCUUGGCUUGGUUGCAUCUGUAUCUCACUUUUGCCCUCACCUUAUGAUUUGAAAGUUUUGAUUAUAAUAUUUUAAUUAAAUAGUUUAGUAGAAAGCUAAAAUGUACUGGUAAUGAUAUAAUCCUUCAGAUAAAUUUAAAAAACCUUAAUCUCAGUUUUGAAUAAUUAUAAAUCUUAGUUUCAUUAAUUUCUAGUUUUGGAACAAAACUGCUUACUUAAAGGUACUUGUCAUUCUUUCCAUUCAGAGUUUAAGCAUAAUAUUAACUAUCAUCUUGGGCUGACCUCACAUGAAUUUAAUAUUAACAGCAUGAAUUCAAUGCUGUACAAAUAUGUGCAACUGAUAUAUGCUAUCCUUUUAUUUUAUCCAG